UACAGAGGGGGCGAGCGUUAUUCGGAAUUAUUGGGCGUAAAGGGCGCGUAGGCGGCUGGGCAAGUCCAAGGUGAAAUCCCUCGGCUCAACCGAGGAACUGCCUUGGAAACUGCCCGGCUUGAGGCCGGGAGAGGGUAGUGGAAUUCCCAGUGUAGCGGUGAAAUGCGUAGAUAUUGGGAGGAACACCGGUGGCGAAGGCGGCUACCUGGACCGGUUCUGACGCUGAUGCGCGAAAGCGUGGGGAGCAAAC
Molecule: ribosomal RNA, 250 nt
Filed under: uncultured bacterium
Lineage: Bacteria
Description: partial 16S ribosomal RNA
Rfam family: Bacterial small subunit ribosomal RNA
Source: RNAcentral